Haliotis rubra (blacklip abalone) is the source of this 337-nucleotide long non-coding RNA. RefSeq lists it as uncharacterized. The record is from RefSeq and is a predicted model, not a curated record. Lineage: Eukaryota; Metazoa; Mollusca; Gastropoda; Lepetellida; Haliotidae. The transcript is spliced from 4 exons.
GGAAGAUAUCCGAUUUGGAGGAAAGGUAAACAUCAACAAUACCUCAACUGUAUGUGUUCAAACCGAAACCAGCAACUGCACCCAUACAUUCGAAAUCGACACACACACGUGCAGUAAUAAUGGGAGGGAAUGGUACAUUUUGCAGACGAAUGUUCCCGAAAGUGUCUUCUGCUUUGCCCCUAACUACUGUCUCAGUUCGCCAUGUGCAAAUGGAGGUGAAUGUGUCGCAGGCCGUGACGGUUUCACAUGCAAUUGUACGACAGGACAUACAGGCCCUACGUGUGAUGGUGAUCCUUGUAAAGUGUCUAGAACCAUACCGUACCUGGAGGCAAGAGGC